GUGUUGUAUGAAAGGAUGGAAGAGGCCCUUGGGCCUGAAAAUACGCAUACGGUUAAGGCAUUGCCACGUACUUUGUGGCAUCGUUUUUGC
Molecule: small nuclear RNA, 90 nt
Organism: Dipodomys ordii (Ord's kangaroo rat)
Lineage: Eukaryota; Metazoa; Chordata; Mammalia; Rodentia; Heteromyidae
Source: Ensembl